Molecule: ribosomal RNA, 253 nt
Filed under: uncultured bacterium
Lineage: Bacteria
Also listed under: 1 other name
Description: partial 16S ribosomal RNA
Rfam family: Bacterial small subunit ribosomal RNA
Source: RNAcentral
UACGAGAGGCCCAAACGUUAUUCGGAUUUACUGGGCUUAAAGAGUUCGUAGGCGGUCCAUCAAGUGGGGUGUGAAAUCCCUCGGCUCAACCGAGGAAUUGCGCUCCAAACUGUUGGGCUCGAGGGAGAUAGAGGUGAGCGGAACUGAUGGUGGAGCGGUGAAAUGCGUUGAUAUCAUCAGGAACACCAGAGGCGAAGGCGGCUCACUGGGUCUCUUCUGACGCUGAGGAACGAAAGCUAGGGGAGCAAACGGG